GACGAACGCUGGCGGCGUGCUUAACACAUGCAAGUCGAACGGAAAGGCCCUGCUUUUGUGGGGUGCUCGAGUGGCGAACGGGUGAGUAACACGUGAGUAACCUGACCUUGACUUUGGGAUAACUUCAGGAAACUGGGGCUAAUACCGGAUAGGAGCUCCUGCUGCAUGGUGGGGGUUGGAAAGUUUCGGCGGUUGGGGAUGGACUCGCGGCUUAUCAGCUUGUUGGUGGGGUAGUGGCAUACCAAGGCUUUGACGGGUAGCCGGCCUGAGAGGGUGACCGGCCACAUUGGGACUGAGGUACGGCCCAGACUCCUACGGGAGGCAGCAGUGGGGAAUAUUGCACAAUGGGCGGAAGCCUGAUGCAGCAACGCCGCGUUCGGGAUGACGGCCUUCGGGUUGUAAACCGCUUUCGCCUGUGACGAAGCGUGAGUGACGGUAAUGGGUAAAGAAGCACCGGCUAACUACGUG
Molecule: ribosomal RNA, 468 nt
Filed under: uncultured bacterium
Lineage: Bacteria
Description: partial 16S ribosomal RNA
Rfam family: Bacterial small subunit ribosomal RNA
Source: RNAcentral